This 65-nucleotide transfer RNA is filed under the name Quadraceps punctatus. RNAcentral describes it as "tRNA-Ser". Lineage: Eukaryota; Metazoa; Arthropoda; Insecta; Psocodea; Philopteridae. The record is from RNAcentral.
AGAGUGUAAGGAAAUCCAUGACUUCUAAUCACAGGUAAGUACGGUUCGAGUCCGUACACACUCUU